GAUGAACGCUAGCGGCAGGCUUAAUACAUGCAAGUCGAGGGGUCAGCAAUGACACCGGCGGACGGGUGCGUAACGCGUAUGCAACCUACCUACAUCAGGGGGAUAGCCCUAGGAAACUGGGAUUAACACCGCAUAAUAUUAUUAAUGGCAUCAUUGAUAAUUGAAAUAUUUAUAGGAAGUAGAUGGGCAUGCGUAAGAUUAGCUAGUUGGUAAGGUAACGGCUUACCAAGGCUACGAUCUUUAGGGGCUCUGAGAGGAGUAUCCCCCACACUGGCACUGAGAUACGGGCCAGACUCCUACGGGAGGCAGCAGUAGGGAAUAUUGGGCAAUGGAGGCAACUCUGAACCCAGCCAUGCCGCGUGCAGGAAGACGGCCCUCUGGGUUGUAAACUGCUUUUGAAUGGGAAGAAUGUGUGGCUUGCGAGCUAUAAUGACGGUACCAUUAGAAUAAGCCACGGCUAACUACGUGCCAGCAGCCGCGGUAAAACGUA
This 490-nucleotide ribosomal RNA is filed under the name uncultured bacterium. Its description in RNAcentral is "bacterial SSU rRNA". It matches the Rfam family "Bacterial small subunit ribosomal RNA", at positions 28 to 529 of the family's 1533-position model. The record is from RNAcentral.